RNAcentral lists this ribosomal RNA (249 nucleotides) under Escherichia coli. RNAcentral describes it as "partial 23S ribosomal RNA". It matches the Rfam family "Bacterial large subunit ribosomal RNA", at positions 230 to 517 of the family's 2925-position model. Lineage: Bacteria; Pseudomonadati; Pseudomonadota; Gammaproteobacteria; Enterobacterales; Enterobacteriaceae. The record is from RNAcentral.
CGAGAUUCCCCCAGUAGCGGCGAGCGAACGGGGAGCAGCCCAGAGCCUGAAUCAGUGUGUGUGUUAGUGGAAGCGUCUGGAAAGGCGUGCGAUACAGGGUGACAGCCCCGUACACAAAAAUGCACAUACUGUGAGCUCGAUGAGUAGGGCGGGACACGUGGUAUCCUGUCUGAAUAUGGGGGGACCAUCCUCCAAGGCUAAAUACUCCUGACUGACCGAUAGUGAACCAGUACCGUGAGGGAAAGGCGA